AUGCUUACCUGGCUGGGAAGACACCAUGAUCACAAAGGUGGUUUUCCCAGGACAAGGCUUAUCCAUUGCACUCCAGAUGUGCUGACCCCUGAGAUUUCCCCAAAUGUGGAAGCUCCGUUGCAUAAUUUGUGCUAGUGGGGGACUGUGUUCACGCUCUCCUCAA
RNAcentral lists this small nuclear RNA (163 nucleotides) under Microcebus murinus (gray mouse lemur). RNAcentral describes it as "U1 spliceosomal RNA (ENSMICG00000019434.3)". It matches the Rfam family "U1 spliceosomal RNA". From Rfam's summary of the family: U1 is a small nuclear RNA (snRNA) component of the spliceosome (involved in pre-mRNA splicing). Its 5' end forms complementary base pairs with the 5' splice junction, thus defining the 5' donor site of an intron. Lineage: Eukaryota; Metazoa; Chordata; Mammalia; Primates; Cheirogaleidae. The record is from Rfam by way of RNAcentral.